This 318-nucleotide ribosomal RNA is filed under the name uncultured bacterium. Its description in RNAcentral is "bacterial SSU rRNA". It matches the Rfam family "Bacterial small subunit ribosomal RNA", at positions 197 to 507 of the family's 1533-position model. The record is from RNAcentral.
GGCGCGUACGGCGUCCACCUAGAGAGUGGACGUCCGGCGGUGCUAUUAGUUAGUUGGUGGGUAAAGGCCUACCAAGACAAUGAUGCAUAGCCGAGUUGAGAGACUGAUCGGCCACAUUGGGACUGAGACACGGCCCAAACUCCUACGGGAGGCUGCAGUAGGGAAUCUUCCACAAUGGGCGAAAGCCUGAUGGAGCAACGCCGCGUGUGUGAUGAAGGCUUUCGGGUCGUAAAGCACUGUUGUAUGGGAAGAACAGCUAGAGUAGGGAAUGACUUUAGUUUGACGGUACCAUACCAGAAAGGGACGGCUAAAUACGUG